UACCAACCCCCGCCCGGUACUCACGGCGGGGCCGUCGGCCGUGGUGUAGCGGACGAUGAUCUGGAAGGGCUGGUGCGGCUGAAGUGCGGCGGGCAGGGAGACGUGAUGCACUAAGCCUGUUUGACCUGGCUUUCACCUACAGGUGAUGUGCAAAGCACAGCCCCAGCAACUUCAGGAUCUGACCCUGCAUAACCUUCACCACAGUGACAGGGCCCUUGGCCAGGCCUCAGCUUGCUCCUGUGGUUCAGGAUGGAAGCCAGUAAAAAAUUACAGCUACCCCUGUGAGCAGCAGUACUUCAGCACAUUUGUGAGACAAGUGCCAAAUGAAGCACAGAAGUGAUCACAACAGAAAGAAGGUUUCCUUCUGUCAGUCUCUGUCUUUAAUUCCAAAGUAACAGUGCUGCAGCUAAGUUUGACA
This 418-nucleotide long non-coding RNA is filed under the name Malurus cyaneus samueli. RNAcentral describes it as "lncRNA (ENSMCSG00000013400.1)". Lineage: Eukaryota; Metazoa; Chordata; Aves; Passeriformes; Maluridae. The record is from RNAcentral.